AAUAGGCCGUGUUCUGCCAAAUGGUACUCACAGCUUCCAAAAAAAUCAUCCAUGUACUCAUGGCCGACGUGCUCAAUCAUCUCACUAAACGAGCAAUAAGGAAUAAAACAUAUUUAUCAGAUCAGCAGUUGCUACCAUUUUCUCCUUUAAUCUGUCAGCAGUACUACUCACCAACUUAUAAUCCUGUCAAACUUCUGGUCAGUUGGUAUUUGGCGGUAAUCGCAAAGCAAGAAACUUAUGCGGUCCUACAUACACAGUAGAUCAAUUUGUUAUCUUGGUUUUUAGAACCCCCUGCUGACAUAAUUAAGUUGAUGUUUGUCACAUAAUACUACCUCUAAUCCCGCUUCUUUCACCUUUCUCUUGGAGUAUUUCAGUUGCUCCUCAGACAGUGUGAUUCCCGUGUACUUGCAACCAGUUUUCUUCACCAGCUCUAUGGCUAAAGUGCCCCAACCACUACCAAUAUCAAGAACAUGAUGCCCUGACUCCACCUUAGCCUUCAGUUAAAUGGAUAUAUUCAUUGCAAUAUCAAGACAUCAUCAGUUAAUAAGGUAAUGCAUAUAUUGAGGCAAUCUCAAUAUCAGGUGAAAUUUAUGAUGGUAGAGUUCAAACAAACCUCG
Molecule: long non-coding RNA, 617 nt
Filed under: Setaria italica (foxtail millet)
Lineage: Eukaryota; Viridiplantae; Streptophyta; Magnoliopsida; Poales; Poaceae
Description: long non-coding RNA (SITA_LNC004251)
Source: RNAcentral